This 253-nucleotide ribosomal RNA is filed under the name uncultured bacterium. Its description in RNAcentral is "partial 16S ribosomal RNA". It matches the Rfam family "Bacterial small subunit ribosomal RNA", at positions 524 to 776 of the family's 1533-position model. The record is from RNAcentral.
UACGUAGGUGGCGAGCGUUGUCCGGAUUUACUGGGCGUAAAGGGAGCGUAGGCGGGCUUUUAAGUGAGAUGUGAAAUACUCGGGCUCAACUUGAGUGCUGCGUUUCAAACUGGAAGUCUAGAGUGCAGGAGAGGAGAAUGGAAUUCCUAGUGUAGCGGUGAAAUGCGUAGAGAUUAGGAAGAACACCAGUGGCGAAGGCGAUUCUCUGGACUGUAACUGACGCUGAGGCUCGAAAGCGUGGGGAGCAAACAGG